UACGUAGGGUGCGAGCGUUAAUCGGAAUUACUGGGCGUAAAGUGUGCGCAGGCGGCCGCGCAAGUCGAGUGUGAAAGCCCCGAGCUUAACUUGGGAAUUGCGCUUGUGACUGGCGUGCUGGAGUGUGGCAGAGGGAGGUGGAAUUCCACGUGUAGCAGUGAAAUGCGUAGAGAUGUGGAGGAACACCGAUGGCGAAGGCAGCCAUCUGGACCGACACUGACGCUGAGGCGCGAAAGCGUGGGGAGCAAACAGG
RNAcentral lists this ribosomal RNA (253 nucleotides) under uncultured bacterium. RNAcentral's name for it is "partial 16S ribosomal RNA". It matches the Rfam family "Bacterial small subunit ribosomal RNA", at positions 524 to 776 of the family's 1533-position model. The record is from RNAcentral.